Molecule: non-coding RNA, 22622 nt
Organism: Pelobates cultripes (western spadefoot toad)
Lineage: Eukaryota; Metazoa; Chordata; Amphibia; Anura; Pelobatidae
Source: the annotation of a GenBank genome assembly
GGCCAUAAUCCAAAGGCAACAGGCGAGCAACCAGGCUUCUCCAAUUCAAUGUGGCAAGAUUGCUCUCGUCACAGUCCUGAAUAACUGUUCGUGUGGAAGUUAGUCGUGUGCCUCGUUGUUCGGGAGUUGGUUUUCACCGAUUCACCGAACGCCAUCUCUUUCGGAUGGAGUAGGAUGAAGCUAAGUGAUCCUGGAAGUCUCGGCAGUGUUCGGGCCGUCGAGUAUCCGAAAAUAGUUACAUACACUCGAUGACCAAACCCCACUGGAUGCUUUUGACAAAACAAGAUGGCCGCCGCCACGUGUUCAUGCAUACGAAUCGAUGGCCACCUAGUGAACCACUUAGAAUGUUCAGAGUUGUGGAUUGGAACAGUGUCAAUAAAGUUAAUUGACGGCACUGACUGCCUUGGGUGGUCCAAGGGUACGGUAAAGCAUUCAGUAUACGAACCAGCUAGGGUAAAGUCUGUUCGUUUUGGUUCAUAUACGAUUUAGACGAAUGGAAAUUCAAACAAGGUUCAGAAUUGCAAUAACACAUAACUCCAAAGGAAUAGGGCAUCUGUUACAAAGGUUUUUGACACUGUUUCACAUAGAAGGCGUAUCAAUAAACUGCAAUCUUUAAGUUUGGAUUCCAAUAUUGUUGAAUGGGAAAGGCAGUGGCUAAGUUACAUAGCUGAAAAGAGACUUUUGUUGAUCCAAAAGAAGGCAACAAACUAGGAAGAAAUUCCUUCUUGACCCCAAAAUAGCAGUCAGCUAGGAUCAAGCAGCUAUUAUCCCACCAAUUAGAAAUUAUAUCCCUGCAUGUUAUGUUUUUGCAAGUAUUUAUCCAAUUGCAGUUUAAACAUCUGUAUGCCGUUUAAACAUCUGGUAUGAUAUGAUAAAACCACCUCUUCAGGCAGAGAAUUCCAUAUCCUUAUUACUCUUUCUGUAAAAAAACGUUUUCUUUGCCUUAGAUGAAAUCUCCUUUCUUCCAGCCUAAAUGUGUGUCCUAUGUAUAGCCCGGUUUAUGAAUAGAUUUCCAGAUAAUGGUUUGUACUGGCCCCGAAUAUAUUUGUAUAAUGUUAUCAUAUCCUCUCUGAGGCGCCGUUUUUCCAAACUAAAGAGAUUUCAUUUUUUUAACCUUUCUUCGUAACUAAAAUGCUCCAUUCCUUUUAUCAAUUUUGUAGCUCGUCUCUGCAUUUUUUCUAGUGCCAUGAUAUCCUUAUUUAGAGCAGGUGCCCAAAUUUGCACAGUCUUACCAGCGAUUUAUAAAGAGGCAAAAUUAUAUUUUCAUCCCAAGAAUUGAUGCCCCUAUUUAUACAUGACAAAACCUUACUGGCCUUAGCAACUGCAGAUUGACAUUGCAUAUUGCUGCCUAAUUUGUGGUCUACAACAAUUCCCAAAUCCUUUUCGUGUGUGGUUAUCCCUACUUCACUACCAUUUAGGGUGUUAGUUGCUUGUGCAUUCUUGACCCCAAAGUGCAUAACUUUGCAUUUCUCUACGUUAAAUUUCAUCUGCCAUUUUGUUUGAAUAGUUUCCAUUCAUUCUCAGUGUUUUUUUCCCUCUGCAGCAAAGCAAUAUCCUGCUCACAUUUUAUUACUUUGCAAAGUUUUGUGUCAUCUGCAAACACCGAAACAUGGCUUUCAAUGUCCAUUUAUAAAUAUGUUAAAAAGAAGCGGUCCCAAAACAGAACCCUGAGGGACACCACUUACCACUUUUGUCCAGCCUGAAAAUGUACCAUUAAUGACAACUCGUUGUACUCUAUCCUUAAGCCAAUGUUCUACCCAAGAACAAGAAUAAUCACAUAUACCAAUUUCUUUUAGUUUGAAGACUAACCUGUUGUGAGGAACCGUAUCAAAUGCCUUUGCAAAAUCCAAGUAGAUCACAUCCACUGCAACACCCUGAUCUAUACUUCUACUUCUUCGUAGGAUGCAAUUAGGUUAGUUUGACAUGACAUAUGUUUCAUGAAACCAUGCUGACUAUUGCUAAUAACAAAGUUCUUCCCAAUGAAUGAAUUCCUGAAUCUUAUCUUAUCCCUUAAUAGCCCUUCAAAUAUUUUCCCAGUCACAGAAGUUAAGCUCACAGGUCUAUAAUUUCCAGGCAAGGAUUUUGAACCCUUUUUAAAUAUAGGAAUACCUGAAACAAAAGAAUAUUGAAAAAUUAAAUACAGAGGUUCAAUUAUUUCAGUACUUAGCUCUUUACUCGUGGGUGAAUACCGUCAGGCCCCGGGGCUUUAUUUACAUUAAUUUUCUCUAACAGCUGUAGCACAUUGUCUUGAGUUAUCCAAUCACAAGGUAUCUGCAAGUUUUUUGCAGCAAUCAUUUGCAUAUCUCUUGCCACAGGAUCUUUUUUAAUAUAUACUGAAGAAAAAUAGUUAUUUAAAAUUUCUGUCUUUUCCUAGUCUUCAUUAACUAACAGACCCAUCUCUGUUUCCAGUGUACCUACACUUUCAUUUUUUGGUUUUUUUUAGAAUUGAUGUACUUGAAAAAUGUUUUGGGGUUGGUUUUGCAUUCAUUGGCUAUCAAUUUCCCAUGUUCUAGUUUAGCCACUUUAAUUGUCUUUUUGCAAGCAUUAUUGGCUUACUUAUAUCUUAUAUAGGAUGCCUCUGAUUUGUCCAAUUUAAAUGCUUUAAAUGCCCUUUUAUUAUGUUUAAUCGCUUGUUUUACUUCUCUACUAAGCCACAUUGGUUUCAAUCGGGGGUCAAGUCCUGGGGAAAAAAGUGUGGGAACUCACCCAAGAUUUCCGCCUCCCCUCCCCCCUUAAAAAAAAAAAAAAAAUUACACUCCUAUGCCUAUAGUGGAGGGUGUGUAUAAUGAAUGUAGUGUGUUUGUAGUGAAUGCAGAGUAUGAAUUAUAAAUGUAGUGUGUUUGUAGUGACUGCAGUGUGAAUAAUAAUUGUAGUGUAUUUGUAGUGAGUGCAGAGUGUGGAUAAUGAAUGCAGUGUGUUUUUAGUGAGUGCAGAGUGUGUAUAAUAAAUGUAGUGUAUUUGUAGUGAGUGCAGUGUGUAUAAUAAAUGUAGUGUGUUUGUAGUGAGUGCAGUGUGUAUAGCGAAUGCAGUGUUUUUGUAGUGAGUGCAGAGUGUGCAUAAUGAAUGCAGAGUGUGUAUAGUGAAUGUAGUGUGUUUGUAGUGAGUGCAGUGUGUAUAAUGAAUGUAGUGUGUUUGUAGUAAGUGCAAAUUGUGUAUAAUGAAUGUAGUGUGUUUGUAGUGAGUGCAGUGUGUACAAUGAAUGCAGUGUAUGUAGUGUGUUUGUAGUGAAUGCAGAAUGUGUAUAAUGAAUGCAGAGGGUGUAUAGUGAAUGUAAUGUGUUUGUAGUGAGUGUAUAGUGAAUGUAGUGUGUUUGUAGUGAGUGAAGAGUGUGUAUAAUGAAUGCAGUGUGUGCGUGUGCUGGAUGACGUGUAUGCGCGCUGGAUGGUGUGUGUGAGUGCUCGAUGGUGUGUGUGAGUGCUCGAUGGUGUGUGUGUGCUGGAUGAUGUGUGUGUGAGUGCUGGAUGAUGUGUGUGUGUGUGAGUGCUGGAUGAUGUGUGUGUGAGUGCUGGAUGAUGUGUGUAUGUGUGUGUGCUGGAUGAUGUGUGUGAGUGCUGGAUGAUGUGUGUGUGUGCUGGAUGAUGUGUGUGUGUGCUGGAUGAUGUGUGUGUGUGCUGGAUGAUGUGUGUGUGUGCGUGCUGGAUGAUGUGUGUGUGUGCGUGCUGGAUUAUGUGUGUGUGUGAGUGCUGGAUGAUGGGUGUGUGUGUGCUGGAUGAUGGGUGUGUGUGUGCUGGAUGAUGGGUGUGUGUGUGCUGGAUGAUGGGUGUGUGAGUGCUGGAUGAUGGGUGUGUGUGGGGGGGUAGCAUUUUUUUACUUUAUGUAUAAUUUGUAUUUAUCCCCCCUCCCUGCUUCUUACCUUGUCAGGGAGGGGGGAGAUCGCCUGGUGGUCCGGUGGAGGGAGGCAGCCGCUGCACACAGGAGCCAUCACACACUGUGUUCCCUCUCCAGCUUUAACUCUCGCGAGACUCGCCUGUGCGGAGCGUUGCCAUGGAAACAGCCGCGGGUCUCGCGAGAGUUAUAGCUGGAGAGGGAACACAGCGUGUGAUGGCCCCUCUGUGCAGGUAGCAGGGCCGGUCCUGCAGGACAGGUAACGGGAACGGCGUUCCUGCUUUGGAAAAAGUGCAGGAACGCCGUUCCCAUGCGUUCCUGCAAGACUCGAGCCCUGGUUUCAAUUUGUUUCUUACCCAAUGGUACAUACUGAGAAAUGUACCUUUCUAAUAUUUGUUUGAAUACUUUCAAUUUAUCCUCAGUGUUUUUGUCACUAAGGAGUUUAUGCCAGUCAAUAUGUUGUAGAGCUGCCCUAAUCUUAUUGAAAUUUGCUUUUUUUAAAUUAUACGUUUUAGUAUACCCCACAUGCUUUAGUUUUUUUGAGUUUAUUUCAAAAUUUACCAUAUUGUAAUCACUAUUUCCCAAAUGCUCCCCUACUUGAAUGUUGGUCAAAAGAUCAACAUUGUUUGUUAUAACGAAAUCCAGACGAGCAUCUUUUCUAGUUGGUGCUUGUACCAGUUGUGACAUAAAUGUGUCAUUUAACACAUUCAAAAACCUGAUUCCCCUUGCUGACGUACUAGUCACUCUAUCCCAAUUUAUGUCAGGGUAAUUAAAAUCUCCAAUAAUUAACGUGUUACCCCGAUUUGCAGCUUUCCCAAUUUGCAGCUGUUCUUCCUCAUUAAUAUUUACAUUAGGUGGUUUAUAACAUAUCCCAACCAAAAAUUGAUUUUCCUUUGUUUGCCACAAGCAGAUAUCUAUCCAUAAAGUUUCCACAUUUUCCUCGUCACACUCCACAUGCCUAAGAUUUGACUUUAACUCUUGGUUGACAUACAAACAUACCCCACCACCCUUCUUGUUUUUCCUGUCCUUCCUAAAUAACGUGUACCCAUUUAAGUUAACUGCCCAAUCAUGUGUCUCAUCCCACCAUGUUUCUGUUAUGCCUAUUAUAUCAUAUUGUUUAGUGUAUGCUAUUGCCUCUAGUUCCCCCAUUUUGUUAUAUAGGCUUCUUGCAUUAGUAAGCAUACAUUUAAUAUUGUCCUGAGUCAUUUGUACUUUUUGUGAAUUUUCAGCAAUAUUACAUACCUCCUCUGUUCUGAGUUUUCCCAUCCCCCAUCUCCACCACCCUUACACUGAACUAAACCCCAUCUCCUUUCUAUCAUAUCUCCAUUUUCUAGAUUGCAUUGACCCUCCCCCCUACUACUAGUUUAAAAUCUCCUCCAACCUUCUAGCCAUCCUUUCCCCAAGCACAGCAGAGCCUCUUCCGUUUAGGUGCAAUCCAUCAGGACUAUACAGGUUGUACCAAGCGCAUCAUCGGCCCAGUGCUCUAAAACCUCAAAACCCUCUUUCCUGCACCAAGACUUCAGUCACGCAUUGAUCUCUCUAAUCUCCCGCUGCCUUUCUGCUGUAGCGGGUGGCACAGGUAAUAUUUCUGAAAAUAUUACCUUGGAGGUCCUUUUCUUUAGCUUACUUCCUAGUUCCCUGAACUAAUUCUUUAGGACCUUCCAUUUUCCUCUGACUUUGUCAUUGGUACCAAUAUGGACCAUGACAGCUGGGUCAUCUCCAGCCCCUCCCAAUAAUCCCUCCACUCUGUCGACAACAUGCCGGACCCGAGCACCCGGGAGACAGCAAACUGUCCGUUUGAGACGAUCAGAGUGGCAGAUUACCCCAUCUACUCUCACCACAACCUGUCUAGCCUUCCUUACCCUCUCAACCUUAUCCGUAAUAGAGGGGCUGUUCCCACGGCUAUAAGAAGGAACUAAAACUAGCAAAUCUGUUCGGCUGCACAAGAUCAGGACUAGCUAAACCUUUCCUCUUCCCUCCCAGCCGCAUCCUCGCCCCACUGUCACCCAGCUAUGUGCCUGUUCCCCAUCUGUCUUAUCUCCUCCCUCUCCACUACCUGUCCCCACUAAACUCUGCUCAGUGAGCAGCAGACUCCUCUCAAGAUUGUCAAUCUCCCUCAGUGUUACAAUUUGCCUCUCCAGAUCUCUAAUCUGAGCUUCCAGAAAAGCCACUCGCUCACACCCACCACAGAGGUAUGGACCCUGGACAGAAUCAUCCAGGCAUGCAUGCAUACAUAAAAACAAAAUAAAGAGUAAGCGCUAAAUAACAGAUGGGCAGCAACCCUAUAAGGGAAUCCCUCAAACACCCUUAAGAAGUAAAACUGGAAAGUAGAAUAACAGAUAAGGGCUGCGCCAGAAGAACUAGAUAUGAGAUAAAAAUAACAAAUAGUCCAAAUAAAAUAAAUAAAAAGGAAAAAGUCUUAUCUAAAAAGAUCUUUUUGGAGACGUAGAGUUUAUAAGUGCUUGGUCCAGAACAAUUGUCCUUGCUGUUCUCCUCCGUAUGGAUCCACUCAUAUGUAAGAAAUAAAAAUAAAUAGAGAACCAAAUAGUGCUUGAUGAUAAAAAGUAAUAAAAUAUAAAAGGCUGGAAUAAAACUCACAUUUUUAAGAGCUUUAACCCGCUCUAGUAUGAAAGGCGUACAGCAGUUUGAUCCCCGCUUAUGGGAUAUACCCCAUGGUCUUAAUGUUGAUUUUGAUUUGUUCAAUUUUUUAUAACUAAAUUUUUUUUUAAUGUUUUAUAUCAUUUAUUACUGAAUGUUUUUAAAUGAUUUGCCUAAUUUCUUAAUUUUUAUAUUGAUUUCUAACCUAUUAUAGGAUGUCUUAAAAUAUUUAGCACACUUUAUAUUUAGGUUAUUAUCCCCAGAUGGGUUAUAUCUAUGGUGUGUCUUUAUAUCACUGUUUUGAUUAUGCCUGAUUACACUUUUUAGUGUAUCAGGCAUAUUCAACAUCCAGCCGGCUGCAGCUCUGUGCAUGCUGACAGUUUCCUUCCCAUUGCCAUGACGACGGCUGCAGCAUCGUGCGAGCUGUCGUCUUUGCUAUUCAGCUUUCUUUCCAUGACGACCGCCGCAGCUUUGUGCGUGCCGUCGUCGGCUUAACUCACGCCCCCUUCUUCUGCUUACCCACUCGCCUAGAUGCCGGCGGCUGCGCAGUGCGCGCCGGCAUCUAACUCCAUUCCCCAACACUCAUUGCGGCUGACCGUCGGUCACAUGACCGCACAACAUAGACGCCCCACGGCAGCUGCGCAGUGCGUGCCGGCGUCUAACUACAUUUCCCAACACUCAUUGCGGCCGACUGCCGGUUACAUGACCGCACAAUAUAGAGCAGUUCAAAUAUAAAACUAACCCUCGUUUUUCAUAUAUUAUUGUAUAUUAUAAUAUAAUAUAAUUAUAAAAUAUUUAAAUUAGUUAAUUAAAUAAAUUGAACCCCUGAAGGUUAAAAAAUAAAUAAAAGUUAAUCGUCAGGGGUUAAAAAAAAUUAGAUCACAGUAUAAUACAGAUCACAGUAUUAUACUGUGAUCUAAUUUUUUUUAACCACUGUAGGCAGCGAUCGACUGGCAUGGAAGGGGUUAAUUUUUAUUUGGAUACAAUACAAAAGUGAAAAAUUCCUCAAACAUAAACAAAGGUGCUACAAUCACCAAGGUGGGCCACAAUCACCACCCUAAAAUACAGUAAUAAACACACAAACAAGUAAUGGUGAGAGCACGCAAAUAAAUUAAAUUGAUAUUACCUACAAAUAAUGUUCAAAUUAUUCCCUGAAAUAAAACAAGGGAAAAAAGACAUAGGGUAAUAGAGUAGAAACUAUAAAUCAAAUGGACAUAUUAGUCCCACUCACAUAUAAGGAGCCACUUAAAAAGCUGGCUCAGACUGCAUGCCUUGAACGAUUAGAAAUUCCAAUGGACCCUUCUUCAUAUUUCUAUAUAAAGUACCUCCAGGACGCCGAUUCAGGGGGUUACAAAACAAUUUAUUUUUCAAAAAAAACAGGAAACAAAUUAAAAUUCGAAAAUACUAGAAGAAUGUCCAAUAAAAACAGGAAUCCACAACACCUUACACGUUUCGGCAGUUAAGCCUUCAUCAGAGGUAUUGUGUUUACUCGUGGCGUGCAGUCUUUUAAAUCCUCCUUUUGGCGCCCUUUUCCGCCGUCAUCUCGGCACUUCACUUCCGGGUUCUGCGUCAGAGCGUCAUCUGCGUCCUCACGCUCUAUCGCCACUUCUGGUCCAUACGUCCGGACGUGUCUGAAACGUCUGGCGUCCUCUUCUAUCAGGACAAUUACUUAGUUGGCGAAAUGGAGCAAAAUAGGAUAUACAAUGUACUUUACAAAAUUACAUAAUAAAAUAAACUUAAAUUAAAUCAAAUUAUAUUGUUGUUGGAUUAAUUUAACCAUCUAAAAUGAUACCAUAGAUAAUGUAUACUCUUCUUAACUUAUAUAUUUCAAUACAUAUACAAGUCUAAAAACAACAAACCUUAUAAAAAAUAUAAACCAAUGUUUAAAUAUAAAUUGAACCUUGAUAAUGGAGAUACUUUAUUAAAUUUGGUCAUUUAAAAUAGAGACCAAAUUUAAUAUUUAGAUGACCAAAUUUAAUAUAGUAUCUCCAUUAUCAAGGUUCAAUUUAUAUUUAAACAUUGGUUUAUGUGAGUGGGACUAAUAUGUCCAUUUGAUUUAUAGUUUCUACUCUAUUACCCUAUGUCUUUUUUCCCUUGUUUUAUUUCAGGGAAUAAUUUGUGGGUAAUAUCAAUUUAAUUUAUUUUUGUGCUCUCACCAUUACUUGUUUGUGUAAUUUUUAUUUGGACUGGCUAAAGGGGGUGUUUUUUUAUUUUUUAUUUAAACGUUAUUAAAAAAAAUUAACUUAAUUUUGAACUUUUUAAAGCUUAUUUUAAAACUUUUUUUUUAACGUUAACCCCUAGUUAGCCUAACACCAAAAGCCCCAAUUCCCCACUAACUUCCACCCACCCCAGCUAGCUAAAUUUAUAAUUUUAAAAUACUUAAAUUAAUUAAUAAAAUAAAUUUAACCCCCGAGGGUUAAAAAAAAAACAAUUAACCCUCACGGGUUAAAAAAAAAUCAGAUCAUAGUAAAAUGUAAUCCCUGCCAAUUGAUCACUGUAGUCAGUGAUUAAUUGGCAGGGAAGGGGUUAAUUUUUUUUAAUUAAAAUGGGUAAAGGGGGGUGGGAUUCUAAAUUAACUUUAUUUUUUCUAACAGGGGGCAGGAUCAGUGAUGAUCCGUCUCCCUGUACUUCACACAGAACCAGGAAGUGCAGGGAGGCGGAAGGUGAGUAUAUGCAGCACAUUUGCUCGCUCUGACAUGCUGUCUGAGCGAGCACAUGUGCUGGGGCAGCCUGAUCGGGUGCUCCCGGUCUGCCUCUAAUACAGAUACAUAAUACAGAGGCAGACCGGAGCACCAUUAACCCCGCGAUCGCCGCGCUCAUGGCGAUCUGGGGUUAAUUUUACUGCAUGACGGACGUGGUCCGUCACUUGUCGUUAAGGGUUUGCCCUGAGUGAAGGACCUCGAAAAUAUAUAGGAAAAAAAAAAGGACAAAGUUUAAAUAAACCCAGCAAAGAAUAAAAAUAUAUAUAAGAAAAGGGGGAAAAGUUAAAAAAAUUUAAAUAAAUCAAAACAGCAAGGAGAAAAAUAAAUAAAAAAAAGGGUCAAAGUUUAAAAAAUAAAUAAAAAAUUAACCCCUUAAGGACCAAACUUCUGGAAUAAAAGGGAGUCAUGACAUGUCACACAAGACAUGUGUCCUUAAGGGGUUAAACCUGCUUUUUUUUCACUUGGUAUUAACUAAUACCAACCACAGUCCAUCAGUUCUCCAACAAACUCCUGUUGUUUUAACUCCUUCUUAAAAGAGACUACUUUAAAUAGCCUACUUUCAAGCAAACUCCAGUGAGCAAGCUCUGUGAGUCAGGCAACAGAGGGUUGUAGUCAAUGGAGUAUAUUCAAAGCAAGGUCUAGUUACCAGUGGGGAUCUGUACUUGGACUCAUUCUCUCGAAUAUUUUUAUUAGUGAUAUUGUAGAAGGUCUUGAUGGUAAGGUAUGUCUUUUUGCUAAUGAUACUAAAAUUUGCAACAGGGUUGAUUUUCCAGGAGGGAUAAGCCAAACGGCAAAUGAUUUAGGUAAACUAGAAAAAUGGUCAGAGCUGUGGCAACUGACAUUUAAUGUGGAUAAGUGCAAGAUAAUGCAUCUUGGAUGUAAAAACCCAAGGGCAGUAUAGAUUAUUUGCUACCUUACUAACCUCAACAUCUGAGGAAAGGGAUUUAGGAAUAAUUAUUUCAGAUGAUUUAAAGUUAGGCAGACAAUAUAAUAGAGCAGCAGGAAAUGUUAGCAGAAUACUUAGUUGUAUAGGGAGAGGUAUUCGCAGUAGAAAGAGAGACCUCAAUUGGAGUAUUGUACACAGUACUGGAGACCGUAUUUUCAGAAGAUACUUCGGAAAGAGUUCAGAGAAGGGCUACUAAACUAGUACAUGGAUUACAUGAUAAAAAUUUACAAGGAAAGGUUAAAGGAUCUUAAAAUGUAUAAUUUGGAGGAAAAACGAGACUGGGGAUAUGAUGGAAACAUUUAAAUGCAUAAAUGAAAUCAACACAGUAAAGAAGGAGACUAUAUUUAAAAGAAGAAAAACUACCACAACAAGAGGUCAUGGUCUGAAAUUAGAUGAGCAAAGGUUUAAAAAUAUCAGGAAGCAUUACUUUACUGAGAGGGUAGUGGACACAUGGAAUAACCUUCCAGCUGGGGUGGUAGAGGUUAACACAGUGAAGGAGUUUAAGCAUGUGUGGGAUAGGCAAGGCUAUCCUAGACUUAAAGGACCACUAUAGUGCCAGGAAAACAUACUCACUUUUCUGGUACUAUAGUGCCCUGAGGGUGCCCCCACCCUCAGGGACCCCCUCCCGCAGGGCUGGAUGGCGAGGAAAGGGUUAAAUCUUACCUUUUUUCCAGCGCCGGGAGGGGAGCUGCUCUCCUCCUCUCCGGCUGAAUGCGCAUGUGCGGCAGGAGCCGCGCGCGCACUCAGUCUGUCUCAUAGGAAAGCAUUCAUAAUGCUUUCCUAUGGACGCUUGCGUCUUCUCACUGUGUUUUUGACAGAAGCACGCAAACGCCUCUAGCGGCUGUCAAUGAAACAGCAACUAGAGGCUUUAGAGGCUGGAUUAACCCUAUUAUAAACUGCUAUGUUUAUAAAAAAAAAAUGGGUUAACCCUAGCUGGACCAGGCACCCAGACCACUUCAUUAAGCUUAAGUGGUCUGGGUGCCUAGAGUGGUCCUUUAAGAUAAGGCCAGGAACUAAUGAAAGUAUUUAGAAAAUUGGGCAGACUAGAUGGGCCAAAUGGUUCUUAUCUGCUGUCACAUUCUAUCUUUCUCUGUGGAGUCUUCGGUGCAAUCUUUCCAUUCAACGUUAACUAUUUUUUAUAUUUUAAUGCUAUACAAGUAUCCCCAGAGAUCAUCCCUCUUUGCUGCUUGUUCUAUGAUAAAGCUUUAGCCUGAACAGCAGUGGGCAGCAUUGGUUGGCAUAGCAUUCUACCUGACUACUGACAGCUAUACAAAGAACCAAUUUCUGGUAUAAAUUGCUAUGGCCAGAAAGAAGUAUCUCUGCCUUAGCCGUAGCUCCAGUAGGGAGUGGUCUGUGGGUAACUAAAGACCCUUAUUUAGUGUUGAAGGGUCUUUAGUUACCCACAACUCAUUGAAGUGGUUUGGGUGCUAUGUACCAUCACCCUUAACCCUGAGUAUGUAAUUAUUGCACUUUUUGUUAUUAUUAUUAUUAUGUUAUUAUGUAUAUAGUGCCAACAAAUUCUGCAGUGCUUUACAGUGGGUGGACAAACAAACAUGUAGUUGUAACCAGACAAGUUGGACACACAGGAACAGAGGGAUUGAGGGUCCUGCUCAAUGAGCUUACAUGUUAGAGGGAGUUGGGUAAAGUGACACACAAGUAAAACAAGAGAUUAAAAAUAAGAAAAGGGCAUUUAAAGCAUUUAAAUCGGACAAAUCAGAGCCAGCCUACAUAAGAUAUAAGGAAGCCCAUAAUUCUUGCAAAAAGGCAAUUAAAGUGGCUAAACUAGAAAAUGAGAAAUUGAUAGGCAAAGAAUGCAAAACCAAACCAAAUUUUUUUUUCAAGUACAUAAUUUCUAAAAAAACAAAAAAUGAAACUGUAGGUACACUGAAAACAGAGAUGGGUCUGUUAGCUAAUGAAGACCAGGAAAAGACAGAACUUUUAAAUAACACUUUUUCUUCAGUAUAUAUUAAUGAGGAUCCUAUGGCAAGGGAUAUGCAAAUGAUUGCUGCAAAAAACUUGCAGAUAACUUGUGAUUGGAUGAUUCAAGACAAGGUGCUACAGGAAUUAACGAAAAUGAAUGUAAAUAAAGCUCCGGGUCCUGAUGGUAUUCACCCACAAGUAGUUAAGGAGCUAAGUGGGGCGAUAAGUGAACCUCUCUCUAUUUAAUUUUUAAAGAUUCUUUUGUUUCAGGUAUUGUACCAAAGGAUUGGAGGAAGGCAGAUGUCGUUGCUAUGUUUAAAAAGGGUUCAAAAUCCUUGCCUGGAAAUUAUAGACCUGUGAGCUUAACUUCUGUGACUGGGAAAAUAUUAAUUAAAUAUUAAGGGAUAAUAUUCAGGAAUUCAUUGGGAAGAACUUUGUUAUUAGAAGGGAGGUCGGCAGAAAAAGUGUCCGUUUUCAGUUCCGUGAAAUCAAUGCCGAACACCGCUGGUCUUUCGCAUGGUUUGAAAUGGCCGCCGCCUCGUGGUCGACGUACGAACAAUGACCACCCUGUAUUCGGUUUUCAUUGAGAAGUGUCUGCGGUUAACCACAAUGUUCUAAUUGGGAUCAAGAGGUUAACCAGCAGCACACUUCUCUUCUGGGUGGCCGUCCGUUCUGUAGUUUUGUUUGGCGGAAGAGUCAAUUCACUGAACAGCGGCAUACGAACGGGUAAUUCCACGAAAAGGCAAAACAGACGAACCAGCAAUCCCAGUCUAUACAGAUGGAUCUGUCACAGGGCUAUUAAGGGAUAAUAUUCAGGAAUUCAUUGGGAAGAACUUUGUUAUUAGCAAUAAUCAGCAUGGUUUUAUGAAACAUAGGUCAUGUCAAACUAACCUAAUUGCAUUCUACGAAGAAGUAAGUAGAAGUAUAGACCAGGGUGUUACAGUGGAUGUGAUCUACUUGGAUUUUGCCAAGGCAUUUGAUACGGUUCCUCACAAUAGGUUAGUCUUCAAACUAAAAGAAAUAGGUCUAGAUGAAUGUUCUUGGGUAGAACAUUGGCUUAAGGAUAGAGUACAACGAGUUGUCAUAAAUGGUAAAUUGUCAGGCUUGACAAAAGUGGUAAGUGGUGUCCCUCAGGGUUCUGUUUUGGGACCGCUUCUAUUUAACAUAUUUAUAAAUGAUCUUGAAAUGGGCAUUGAAAGUCAUGUAUCAGUGUUUGCAGAUGACACAAAACUUUGUAAAGUAAUAAAAUGUAAGCAGAAUAUUGCUUUGUUGCAGAAGGAUUUGGAUAUAUUGGGGGACUGGGCACUAAAAUGGCAGAUGAAAUUUAACAUAGAGAAAUGCAAAGUUAUGCACUUCGGGGUCAGGAAUGCACAAGCAACGAACACCCUAAAUGGUAGUGAAUUAGGGAUAACCACACACGAGAAGGAUUUGGGAAUUGUUAUAGACCACAAAUUAGGCAGCAAUAUGCAAUGUCAAUCUGCAGUUGCUAAGGCUAGUAAGGUUUUGUUAUGUGUAAAUAGAGGCAUAAAUUUUCGGGAUGAAAAUAUAAUUUUGCCUCUUUAUAAAUUGCUGGUAAUACCACACCUUGAAUAUGCUGUGCAGUUGUGCAAAUAUGCUGCUGCUUCUGUCAGAGAUAGGUAGACUAGUUUUUAUAGAAAAUGUUUAAUAAUGUAACUUCUGUCUUUUUAGAUAUGGUAUUAAAAAUAGGGAUGAAGUUGUCUUUGUGAAGAAGCUGAAAAAGAAAUAGGGUCUUUGGUAAGUUAUUUUACAUUUCAAAUUAAAUAUGUUAAUAAUUAAUAUGUUAAACCUAAAACCUUUUAUACAGAUAAGUGGUAAUAAUAAGAAUAAGUGCAUCAAUUAUGGAUAUCAAUGAAAAGUACAAACAUAGAAAACCAGUAUGCAAAUUUCUCAUGUUAGUGGGACAAAAUAUUAAAAUAAAUAUUUAAAUAUUUGAAACCAAUCUCCGUUAACUGGUUAAUUCCCAAGGAAAAGAAAGAAGACCGAUAUGUCCCAGAACAAGGAAUGGUGCAAAGCAGGGUUCUCGAAAGGAGCAUAUCUCGGAGCAGCCUGCAGACCGAGAGGCUUAACCCAAUGCAAGAGUCCUGAGAGGGAACAUAAGCCACCAAAAUGGUGGAACGGAAGACAAAAAUAGGCCAGAAAGACUUACCUUGAAAAAACUAUUCAGCCAAGGAGUUCAGGACGCCCACGAUAUAGGCCACUAAGGGAUCAAAAUGCCUCUUCAGACACCAGCCAUGUCAGGCCUAGAUAAUCACCUAGUGCCCGGCGUCCAACAGUCCCAGGGCAACUCUCAAGCCGCAACUCUAGAACAUCAACACGUGUGGGAUCCCAGCCGGAUUCCAAAGGAGAAUCCCGGAGGCAGGAAGCUGUAACAGGUCUUAGCACAACAAACCCCAGAUGUUGAGGGAACCACUGGUGACUCCUCAACAGUGGUACAAUCAAGAGUAUCUACACUCUCAGAAGCUUGGUCUGAUGGAAAGUCCUAUGUAUCAUGGAGAAAGGCAGCAACGAAUACGCUCCCAUGAACGGCCAGACCUGGAUGAACGCAUCCAUUGCUGCGUCGAGAUAAAACCUGAACCCAGCUGAGAAACAACAACAUGAGCGGUUUGCCCUGGACAAUGAAGAGGUCUAGAUGGAGCGGACCCUGAAGGAAGUCCAACACAUGAAACACUGUGGAAAAAAAAAAGGUCAAUCGUUGGCGUCCCACCAGUGCAGGUAAAAAUUCAGGAUGAAGUCCGGAGGGGAGCCGAAAUCGCCUCGUUAUUUUAGGCCCCCUUGUGUCGAAGCUACCAAUGGAGUCAUGCAGCUUGCUGUCCAGUGCAUAAAGAGCCGCCAUGCGGUGCUCCAUGGGAAGGCCACAUUGGCGUUGCCACACAAGCAGAUGGUGUGUUGGACCUAUUCACAUCCACCGGUGUUCCUUCAUUCAGAGCAUCAUUAGCCAUUGGAAAAAUCUAAGUCAGCGGGUCACUGAUAUCAAGGAGCUAGUCUUGCUCCAGGCCCUUGUGCACAUUCUUACCAAAAUGUGCCAGAAAAUUGCAAACACCAGGUCAAAGUCAGGGGUAAAGGCCACUUUAUCCGAUAGUGUAGGAGGAGGGCACCCCACCCUAAGCUUCGCCAUGACUUCCUUAUCCAGAGGGCGGUGGACACCUGAGGAACUUCGAAACGUGGCCAGGGAGCAUCCACUCCGAGGCGCGUGGACGUGUAAGGGGACAUGGGUUAAAGAGAGGCCAUCCCAAAGGAUCCAGUAUCUUCAUGGGAUCGACCGCAAAGGUCGACUGUGGACAUAGAGCAUCAGCCGGGGAAAUGUUGACCACCAUCUACCUAACAUAGCGGGAGUAACAACCAAAGGUGCCUUUGCCGGGCAAGCAGCGUACAAGUUGUCAGCCUUACAGAAAUGAAGUUGUCUUUGUGAAGAAGCUGAAAAAGAAAUAGUGCAAUCGGGGGCCCCCGAGAAGAUGUUCACAUCCACACUUCCAGCCGUACCGGAGCCAAAUCUAGCCAAUUUUUUUUGUCCUUGUGCGUGGGGGCCUCUUAGCCUGUCAAGGGAUGCUUGCAUGCGGAGCUUGUCCCCAGGGGGUGGAGAGACCCAUCUGAGUUAGAGCCUCUAGAGCCAGGGGCGAAACGAGUAGGCUGCGAGGCAAUCGGGGGGGUCAACCCCAUGGGAGGUGGCAAGCGCCUUGGGUAGGGAGUCCAUGAAAGGGACACACAGGCAGGCCUGGAGGCCUUCUGACACAUAAAGACUGAGACAUCGGCCAUAGUAGUUCCACUGGAACACAGAAAAAAGCAAAGGUCAGUGAGGUAGAGGGCCCAUGGCAGGCUUGGGGUCACCCAGAAUGCAAGAGGGGGUCAACCAACAAGCAGAGCUUAAAGCAGAGCAGCCCAAUAGAGAAGGGGUCACCCUCUGUCUGGUGGAAAUAUUUGUGAAUGAGAAGAUGGGCUGGCUGUGAGUGAUCAGACGGCACCCUGUGACUGGUCAUGAGUGACAGAAUGGCUAGCUGUGAGUGACAGGAUGGCCCACCUGUGUUCGGAUGUGAGCAACAGGAUGGUCCACCUGUGGCUGGAUGUGAGUGACAGGAUGACUCCUUGUGGCUGGCUGCCAGGAAUAGGAAUCAGCAGCCGAAACAUCAUGGCUCGGACAGUACUGGGAAGGGUCACUCAGGCACUAGACAUUGUAAGUCUGUGAGGUCAGUGUGACGAAGUGCCCUUUGCCACUUGGUCCUGGAGAGACCUGCUUGCCAGCCUCCUGCCCUGUGACUAUGGCCCCUGGGAGAUUUUUCCCUUUAAAACCAGCAUUUGGGCUUAUAGACUUUUAUUGGACUGUGUAUGGCCCUUUAAGGACUGUAUUUGGGCUUCUGAGACUUAUUGGAACAAUACCCCUUUAAGACGGUGUCCCCAGAGACCCAGGACCGGUGCAAAUAAUUUUGGGUACAUAGGCGAAGAUGCAUUUUUCCGCCCCCCCCAAAAACAUAUUCGCCCAUGUGCCUCUUAACCUCCCUUUUGUGUUUCUUAUCCCGUCUUUUAAAUAUCUGACUCCCUUUAGUGUAUUUUAUCUCCUAUUUUUGCCUUUGUGUGUCUCCUAUCUCUCCUCUUUGUAUGACUCUUACAUCCUCACACAUUUUGUGUCUUACUUCUCCCAGCCCCUUUGUGUGACUCCUUUUCUCCCAGCCCCUUUGUGUCUUUUAUUCUUCCCAGCUCCUUUGUGUGUCUCUUUCCUUCUCAAGCCCCGCUGUGUGUUUCUUUUAUAUCCAGCCCCUCUCCCUGUCCCAUAAUGGUCCCCUCCCUUCUCUGACCCAUACUGUUCCUCUCCCCUCUCUCCUCCUUUCCCUGUUCCUCAGUGUUCCUUUCCCUUCCCCCCUCUCCUCUGUUCCCUGUUGCUUAGUGUUCCUCUCCCCCCCUCCCUCCUUUUCCUGUACCUUAGGGUAUCUCUCCCCUCCUCUCCCUGUCCCUUGGUGCGCCACCCACCCCCAUAGUGGUCCACUCCCCUUCCUGGUGUGCCUCCUACCUUUCUUGUAGCGUGGCUGAGCGGAGCGAAUCCUGGUACAGUGAGCUUUUCCUGUCAGUCCUGCUAGGAACAGGAAACAGAAGUUCCUGUACCACGGUACACUCCACUUGGCAACGCUACAGUCAGGGGUGUAGAAACACUGACAGUCACACACACUCAAUGACAAACACACAGACAUCUCUGACAGCCAGACUCACUUAUCUGACACACUCAUUCAUUGACAGACACUCACACGCACACUGACAGACACACAAACACUGACAGACUCAUUGACAAACACACACUAACACACACACACACACUCACAGACACUGACACACACGUACUCACAUGCACACACGCACAUACUGACACACACUAACUCACACAUACACUGACAGAACCACACACACCUAUUCACAUGCGCACACACACACACACACACUGACACUGACAGACACACUCACUCACACACACUGACAGACACACAUACUCACAUGCACAGACACACUCACUCACACACUGACAGACACACAUACUCACAUGCACACACACACACACACUGACAGGCACACUCACUCACACACAGACACACACACACACACACACACACACACACUGACACACACACACACACACACACACACACUGACAGACACAUUCACUCACACACUGACAGACACACUCACACACUCACUCACACACACACUGACAGACACACUCACUCACACACACACUGACAGACACAUUCACUCACACACACACUGACAGACACACUCACUCACACACACACUGACACACACACACACACUGACAGACACACUCACUCACACACACACUGACAGACACACACACUGACAGACACAGUCACACACACACUGACAGACACACUCACACACACUGACAGACACACUCACACACACACUGACAGACACACACACACACACACAAUCUCACAGACACACAUACUCACAUGCACACACACACACACACAUAAAAAUUAAUAAUCUAAAUUAAAUAAAAAUUUCCCACCCAGCCUCCCUACCUGGACAGCUGGCGUGGGUCUCUCAUUGGUGGUCCAGUGGGGCUGCUGGGAGGCGUGCUGCUGAUCUCUCUGAUCUGCUCCCUCGCAGGCUGUUUACUGAUGCCGCGGGAGCCGGAAUUUGACGUCAUCAGUAAACAGCCUGCGAGGGAGCAGAUGAGAGAGAUCAGAGCUCCCUCGCCACCUCGGCAUCCAAUUCAGCCGCACGCCGCGCCGGGGAUCCAGGAGGUGACCUGGCAGGAGGGAGCACUUCCCUCCUGCCGGUCACUGGAAUUUUGCGCCCCCAGAGCCGGUGCGCCCUAAGGCGGUGCGACCCCAGACCUUCAAAAUACUUGGUUUAUGGCUACACAUUUGCAUAAACACCGCUGACCCUUACCUUCUCCUCCAUUCAGUAUUCCUGUUUCACAAUUUGAACACACAGUGAGACUAAGCUAUUUCUGAGUGAAAUUGACCAACCGCACAGCCCAAAUCUAUGGAACUGUUUUGGGCAGGAAAAUGUGCUUGCGGUCCGUCACAAAGGACUUCCGACUAACUUUUUAACCCCUGGAGGGAAUUGCCUGAAUUUUGGAUAUGUUUAUAUUUAAAGUAUGCUGAUUCAUAAUAUGGAGAUUGGAUGUAUAUUUUUAAAGUUAUAGUGAAUGUAUAAAAAGUAUAUUUUUCCUGCCUAUAUCACAGGCAGAGGGGAGGAUUUUGUGGGAAUGAAUUGGAAUGUUUUACUGUAUUAUAUGUGUUUUAUUGGUUGUUCUACAAAACCCUGUGGGCGGUACUGUAUGUGUAAAACCUGCAUAAAAGAAAGCCCUUUGGUGCUGAUUAAAAGAGAUCUUCUUGACCCUCAACACGUAGUCUUGUCUCGUGAUUGGAGGGGAACUGCUACAUUCACACUGGGGAUUGCUAUACUUUGUAUACUCCCCUGAGCUUUAAUCACUUAGCUCUUUUAAGAGCUGGUUCCUGAUACGCUCUCCUGGAGGAGAGGUCUUCACCACAUGGUCCUGGAGGACAGAGGCUGAUCCAGGGUGGAAGGAAGAUGGCGAGACUCUAGUUAAGCUACCGUGGUUGUGGAGUCUGUGGUGGUUGUGGUGUCCGGUGCGGUGGUUGUGGUCUUCGGCGCAAGCUAGAAAAGCGUCCAUCAACAGAGUACGAGGGAUUCCGUCAGUAAUAAGGGGCCUGAACACCAGGCAUACAGAGAUGUGGAACUCUGCAACAGACAAUCUCCCCUACGGGGGGUGGGGGGAGGGUGCUGGAAAACACAAAACAAACAAUACAAUUUAGUAGGUAGUAAUGCAAACAAACAGUGAGGGGGAGCAGCGCAUCCAUGUCUACAGAGUACAUACUGUGCUGUCCUCACAUAAGAAAGAACCUGCAAGAGAGAGGAGGAAAAAAAGGGGAUCAGCCACAUGGCCAGUAGAACCCCCCAUGCAGCGCUGCAAGUGUGGCCCAAUGGGUGAGACAAAAAGCAAGCGCGUGGGAGCCACGUGGCUCCGAUAAAAUGGCCGCCAUGGCCUAAUGCUGCAAAUGCAGCCGCUUGGCGUAAAGCGCCCACCAACCGGGAGAGCACACAGGAUGCGGCGGUUGAGUACAUGGCGCAGAGCGUUGAAAUCUAUUUGGGGGUGGGGGUGUGUGGGAGAGCCAACAAGGGCAAAGGGGCGUGGCGGACUCACAAGAGUGCUGCGGUUGUAGCAAUGCACAGUAAGGGGAGACCAGAGCAGGGGAAAACCCACAAAGUUGUCCACACUUGCCCCACACAAAAGUAAAUGUAAUAAAUAACCAAACAUACUAACUAAAAACAGCUUAGAAAUCAAGGCAAACAUGCAGCAUAAAGUAAUACCUGAACAAUAAAGCAAUAAACAGCCCCGAGCAGACACUCUCUGAGUUAGGGAAUGCCCAUCAGGCACACAGCCGAAGAGCCCCACACAAAAACUGGAUGGAAUAGAUAACCAAACAUACUAACUAAAUACAUCUUAGAAAUCAAGGCAAACAUGCAGCAUAUAAACAAUAAAUACAUACAACAUAUACAACAAUAUACAGGAACAAUAAAUCAAACAGUCCAGAGCAGGCACACUCUCUGAGUUGGGGAGCUCACCUGGAGGCAGCAGCAAAGAAAGAGGAAGUGGGAGGGUCUGCCUGAGAGUUUUUUGUUCUACUGUUCUUUUGUUCUGAUUGGUAGUUUCUGAAAAGUUAUAUUAACUAUUUAUUUGCUACUGGAGGUUUCAGUAAAGAAGGUAAAGCAAAUAUGAAGCCUCCAGUCUUGCCAUAAAAUUUAGAUCUGUUUAGUUUAGAAAAGCAGUGCAUAAGAGGGAUAUGAUAACAUGAUAAGAAUAUAUUCAGGGCCAAUACAAACUGUUGCGUAGAGAUCUGUUUGUAAACAGGACUAUACAUAGGACAAAAGGUCACACAUUUUGACUGAUAAAAAGAUUUAGGAAAGGGUUCUUUACAAAAGAUGUGGAAUUUUCUGCCUGAACUGGUCAUUGUAUCACAUCUGUACAGAUUUGUAAAGAGUGACUGGAUGAAUUGUUGCAAAACCAUAAUAAUCAGGGUCAUAAUAUUUAAUCUUCAAUCUCAGUUAGUGGACCAUGUUCAGCAGGUCACCUUGCUACAUAAAUACUUAUACGAUAUUAUUAAAUUAAACUAUGAUAUGGAUGGUAUAAUAGGGAUAGGGCUCUAAAUGUGUUAUGUGCUUGAGACUUAUAACUUACCCUACAAUGUACACAUCAAUGCAAACUAGAUAUGUAUUCAGAUAUAUUCAAAGAAAGCUUAUGUGUUUUCUACCUAUCAUAACUACCUUAUCCAAGACAAUAAAUCUAUGGAUGCGUCUAUCACCCAAAAUAUUAAUAAAUGUGUACAUGAAAUAUUGGUCAGAAACCUGAAUGACAAUAAUACAAACUGCGUGCACAAAAAAUACAGUGGCAAACUACAGGUAUAAAUGGUAACGCAUGAGAAUAUUGUAGCAAUCCAAGAAUAGAUGAUCCAAGAUUCAGUCAGUACCUGAGAGUGGUAGGUGUUUCUGCAGGAUGUAAAAUGCAGAUCUUCACUGAGUUUCAGAGUGGUAGGUGUUUCUGCAGGAUGUAAAAUGCAGAUCUUCACUUCAGAUCUAGAGGAGUCUGGUGUUCACUCCUCCUUGUCCCUUCUAUCUCCUCUCCUUCCUUCUACUUACUUAACAGUUCACUAGAUAUACUAUUGACUUCCAUUUGAUUACAUGGGUCACUUGUGAUUGGUUGGUGCUAUGUUUGCUUUUUCCCUCCUGGCCUUUGGCUACACAACACACAUCUAACAUGCCCCUGGGGUCUUUCUCAUAUGUACCUGAAUAGAGUUACAGAUUGCUAUCUUUAUAUGACCCACUGGAAUCCCAACAAGAUUAUUAUCAUCAAACAUUCCCAUUGUCUCUUGAGUUGUGUGGACAACACUACGGAUAAAACCUACUAUCUUGACAUACUUUUGUUUAUGGCUGCCCAUCCUAUAAACAAAAACCUCUAUUUCUAACUGACCACAUUCGGCCCUACAGCCAUCACGCAUACUCCCAUUCUCACACAUUUUGAUAUUAUAUUAGUACCCAUUUAUAAAACAUAAUGCCAAGAAUUUAUAAAAUUAGUUACUCCUCCAGCAGCAAUGGGGUUAAUCUCUGUAUGUGCAGGAUUUUAAAGCAGAGUGCUGCACAUACACAAUUCAGGUACAUUAUCAUUUGAAAUCGCUGAUCAUGGGGCUUGGAGUAAUCCUUUAAAGAAACACAAAUCAGGUUUUGAGUGGUGGAGCGUUUGUUUUGAUUACCUGGAAGAAACCAUUAUUCCGUACGUGAAUGCAAUCUGCUAAUUGUUGGAUUAACAUUUGUCACCAAGUGGUUCCUGUUCAGGAAUCAUACAGAAUACAAUUUUUAAAUUAGCUGUGCUUCUCUCUAGCUAUCACUUUAAUGGUUCUGGUUAGUAUGUCUAGAAUGUAUUGAUAGUAAUCAAUCAUAAUGCUAUUUUCAACUCUUUCUUCUAUAUAAAUAAUCAUUAAAACUGGCAAAUUUGGGGUCUUUGCAUAUUUUGCAAGGGGACAGGCUUGGUUUGUGUGCCGCAACCCACUGGAGAAGAUACCUGGAUAUUUACUUAAAUGACUAUUUAGGUAAGCUUGAGUGCAUUUAACAAUACAAUGUUUUGUUUUUUUUUCUUUUCUUUUUAUAGAACAUCAUCAAAUACAAAGGGAGAAAUGUACAACUAUAUUCUUUAACAAAGCUUGGUAUCAUGUUGUCAAAGACAUCUACCUAAAUUAUUCCCUUCAUAUCAAAGCUUCCGUGUAGUAACAACACCAAUGGUCGUAUCUGAAUAUACAAAAGCAACAGGAAUCCUCACUUCAAACAACACACAUUUUUGAAAAUUAGUUCCUCUGUCUCAGGAAGAUCUCAGAGUAUAGUUUCAACAACUGGUAUGGCAUGCUCGGCAUUCUCAUCCUUUUGUAGGGCAAAUUAUUUUUUUAAGUUUAGUUGGACAGUAAUAGCAUCUUGAUCCAAGGAAGUAUUUGGAAACUAGCUGGAAGAUACAUAUUUUACUUCUUAAAUGCAGUAAUAAUGACAUAAGAAUUUGUAUUACUUUUUUAAUAAACAUUUUUAUAUCUCAC